Molecule: ribosomal RNA, 409 nt
Filed under: uncultured bacterium
Lineage: Bacteria
Description: bacterial SSU rRNA
Rfam family: Bacterial small subunit ribosomal RNA
Source: RNAcentral
GUGCCAGCCGCCGCGGUAAUACGGAGGAUCCGAGCGUUAUCCGGAUUUAUUGGGUUUAAAGGGUGCGCAGGCGGAAGAUUAAGUCGGCGGUGAAAUUUUGCAGCUUAACUGUAAAAGUGCCUUCGAAACUGGUUUUCUUGAGUGUAGAUGAAGUAGGCGGAAUUUGUGGUGUAGCGGUGAAAUGCAUAGAUAUCACGAGGAACUCCUAUUGCGCAGGCAGCUUACUAAACUACUACUGACGCUCAUGCACGAAGGCGUGGGGAUCAAACAGGAUUAGAUACCCUGGUAGUCCACGCAGUAAACGAUGAUUACUCGCUGUUUGCGAUACACUGUAAGCGGCCAAGCGAAAGCGUUAAGUAAUCCACCUGGGGAGUACGUUCGCAAGAAUGAAACUCAAAGGAAUUGGCGG